RNAcentral lists this ribosomal RNA (785 nucleotides) under uncultured Neocallimastigales. RNAcentral's name for it is "partial large subunit ribosomal RNA". It matches the Rfam family "Eukaryotic large subunit ribosomal RNA", at positions 24 to 663 of the family's 3401-position model. Lineage: Eukaryota; Fungi; Neocallimastigomycota; Neocallimastigomycetes; Neocallimastigales. The record is from RNAcentral.
UAUCUCUGUAGAGUCUGCAUAUCAAUAAGCGGAGGAAAAGAAAACUAACUAGGAUUCCCCUAGUAACGGCGAGUGAAGCGGGAAGAGCUCAAAUUUGAAAUCUUAAAGGUUUCUACCUUGACGAAUUGUAGUUUAAAGAAGUGUUUUUCUGUUGGAGGUUUUGGUAAAAGUUCUUUGGAAUAGGACAUCAUAGAGGGUGAGAAUCCCGUAUUUGACCAUUUACUUUCAAGCGUUGUGAUACACUUUCAAAGAGUCGGAUUGUUUGGGAAUGCAGUCCAAAAUGGGUGGUAAAUUUCAUCUAAAGCUAAAUAUUGGCGAGAGACCGAUAGCGAACAAGUACCGUGAGGGAAAGAUGAAAAGAACUUUGAAAAGAGAGUUAAACAGGUACGUGAAAUUGUCAAAAGGGAAGCGUUUGACACCAGUGUUGCUUUUUCUGAAAAUCAAUUAAAGAACUGUUUAUGCUAAGUUGUUUAGACUUUAUUAGCUAACUGUUUAGUUUUGAGCUUUUCUUUAAUGCACUUUUCAGUUAACAAGUCAACAUCAAUUUCUUUUGCUGUAAAAAAAGCUUGAGGAAGGUGGCUUGAGAUUCGUCUUAAGUGUUUUAUAGCCUCUUGCCUAUGCAGUCGGAGAGAUUGAGGUCUGCAGCGUAGAUCCUUCGGGGCUAAAUGCAUUUGUGCUAAGUUAUAGCAUUUUAUAGACAACUUGUUGACUAUGAUUUGUCUUGUAGCUUACUCGCUUAUGUUAUUUUACCUACGCUUAGGAUGUUUGACGAUCAGCUGAGCGCG